Molecule: long non-coding RNA, 1528 nt
Filed under: Homo sapiens (human)
Lineage: Eukaryota; Metazoa; Chordata; Mammalia; Primates; Hominidae
Description: hepatocellular carcinoma up-regulated long non- coding RNA
Source: RNAcentral
ACCUCCCGCGCAUGCUCUAUGGGGUAGAGACGCUAGGCCGGCACUGCCUAGGUGGGCCGGGCGGUGCGAGGGUCGCCUUUCAGCCUUUACCUCUACCCACUGAAAUGGAGUAGGUCGGUGAGCGCCGAUCUGCUGGAGAAUCUCAUUAUCCCAUCGGCGCUCUGCCUGCUCCUGGCCUCCAAGCCUCUGAAGCCCCUCGGGUUUCAGCUGCCGGCUACCCUCGAGCCCGUGGUGCCCACGAGAGAGGCGACUUUACGUCAGCGGCCCUGGGCUGAGAUUUGAGAACGCGACCAAGUGGAGAAUGUUGGAGCCAGAUUUUAAAAUCCUUGUCUUCCUUCUGCGUGCUACUUGAUCUAAAUGAGAUACGGCAAAGUCACAGAACCUGUUUUUAUGUUUUUGCCUGAUUCAUACGGGCUUCUCCGGUGAAGAUGGGCCUGAAGUAACGCUUGGGUUGCUUCUGACGUUAUAACUCAUCCUGUAGCUGCAGCAACCGUGGUCCUUGCAACCUCAUAAAAAUGUUGCCAGCAUUGUUUCGAUAGUGCUGCUUAAUUCUUGGAAGGUUCUUCGGACUUCACACAUUCCAGCAGUAGCUCUCUCAGCUCCUGUCCUGCACAGCUUUGAAGUGCUGGACACAGCCCUGGUGAUGGCUUUCUGAGGAUGACACGAUGGAGGCUUCUCCAAUAGCUCUAAAACUGCGGUGUGGAAAACAUUCGGCAGCCUCAAAGAGCGGUCUUGUUGACCCCAACUAUAUCAUUUUUCAUCAAAAUCAUUCUUGUAAAGAAUGACCAGGCAACACUCUUUGAAAAUUGGAGGCCAUUUGCAGCUGCUCUCUGUUGAGGAAAGUGAAUAAUAGGGUGCCCUCAAGGAAUUGCAAAGGGACACGCUGCGGAUGGCUUGAGAUUAGUAUCUGCGCAGGUGCCAUUCUCACAGUGUGUGCUGUGAGAAUGUCGCAGACGUGUGCUGCUACUCUGGCACUCACACUUGUCCAGGCUGUUUCUUAGUCCUAAGUUAGUGGCAUGAAAGCACUGCCCUGGAAGCGAUGGAGCAGCAAGUGCUCUACCCACAUGGAAGUCUUUGGGACCUGCACUUCAAUGAGCGCAGAGAGGAAAAGGAGAGAAGAACCAACACAACUGAAGCACCUACGAGCGUCAGGCACUGGCCCAGCUGCCAUGGACCCCCGAGUUGAAGGUCGUAUAACCUCAGCCUGCCCAAAUGAACCAAGCACACAACCACAGGGGGAACCCAAGAGUUCCAGUGGGAGAGCUGGAAGAGGAGGGACCAAUGUGAGAAGUGGACACCAUAUGGCAGGAUCCAGGAUCCAAUCAGACUGAGCCCUGGGGUCACCCCAUGGAAGGAUCCAGUUGGAUCAUGCCUCCUGGCAUCACCUACUGCAAGAUCCAAUCAGAUCACACCUCCUUACCCUAUGCUUAUAAAACCCCACCCAGCCCCCAGCCCGAAGAUACAGAUUUGAGUAUUUCCUCCUGUUUCCUUACCAGUCGAUUUGCAAUAAAGCUUUUUUUUUUUUCCU